AACGAACGCUGGCGGCAUGCCUAACACAUGCAAGUCGAACGAGACCUUCGGGCCUAGUGGCGCACGGGUGCGUAACGCGGGGGAACCUGCCCUUAGGUUCGGAAUAACUCCCCGAAAGGGGUGCUAAUACCGGAUAAUGUCUUCGGACCAAAGAUUUAUCGCCUUUGGAUGGGCCCGCGUUGGAUUAGCUAGUUGGUAGGGUAAAAGCCUACCAAGGCGACGAUCCAUAGCUGGUCUGAGAGGAUGAUCAGCCACACUGGGACUGAGACACGGCCCAGACUCCUACGGGAGGCAGCAGUGGGGAAUAUUGGACAAGGGGCGAAAGUCUGAUCCAGCAAUGCCGCGUGAGUGAUGAAGGCCUUAGGGUUGUAAAGCUCUUUUACCCGGGAUGAUAAUGACAGUACCGGGAGAAUAAGCACCGGCUAACUCCGUG
RNAcentral lists this ribosomal RNA (433 nucleotides) under uncultured bacterium. Its description in RNAcentral is "partial 16S ribosomal RNA". It matches the Rfam family "Bacterial small subunit ribosomal RNA", at positions 29 to 507 of the family's 1533-position model. The record is from RNAcentral.